CUCGACACAAACCCGUAAAAACACAGGCCGAUCUCGGCUCGCCCAUCGUGCCGAUCUCGGCCUCCCGGCUCUCUCCACUCGCCUCAAUCCCCAAUGGCCGUCGACACCACCACCGCCGCGCCUUCCCACCCUGAAGGCGACGAAGGCGGUGAAGAGGCAGUGCGGCCGCUCCUCUCCGGCGCGCCCGCUGAGGUGGAGGAUGAGGAACUGGACAUCAGGUACGCGCCCUAUGCGCGCCGUGAUGCGUACGGGCCGAUGGGCCGCGGGCCGCUCUCUGCGGCGCAGGUGGCACGGUUAGUGCUGGCGGGCGUCGUUCUCCUCCCGCUCCGUCUCGUCGCAGGGGUGCUCCUGGUCGUCGCCUACUACCUCGUGUGCCGUGUGUGUACGCUGUUUGUGGGCGGAGUGGGAGAGGGCCGUCCCCGCCUACAGGGGUUGAGGAGGGAGGCCGUGCUGCGUGCUGGCCGCGUGUUGUCGCGGGCAAUGCUGUUCGUGUUCGGGUUCUACUGGAUCCCCGUGUCCGAUCGAAGCUUCCCCAAUGCCGAGGAUGUACCUAAAGAUCACUAUGAAGAACUGGAAAGACCAGGGGCGAUUGUAUCUAAUCAUGUGUCAUAUGUGGACAUUCUUUAUCAUAUGUCAGCUUCUUCUCCGAGUUUUGUUGCUAAGAACUCAGUGUCCAAGUUGCCGUUGAUUGGUCUCAUAAGCAAAUGUCUUGGGUGCAUUUUUGUUCAACGAGAAUCCAAAUGUUCAGAUUCUAAAGGUGUCUCAGGUGCUGUAACUGAAAGGCUCCAUGAGGUUUCACAAGACGAGAAUUCCCCUAUGAUCUUACUCUUUCCUGAGGGUACUACUACGAAUGGGGAUUACCUUCUCCCAUUUAAGACAGGAGCCUUUCUUGCAAGGGCACCAUUGCAACCUGUAAUUUUGAGAUAUCCUUACAGGAGAUUUAGUCCAGCCUGGGACUCCAUGGAUGGGGCACGUCAUGUGUUUUUGCUCCUCUGUCAAUUUGCAAAUUACAUAGAGGUGGUUCGCUUGCCUGUAUACUAUCCUUCUGAGCAAGAAAAGCAGGAUCCUAGAGUCUAUGCCAACAACGUCAGAAAAUUGCUUGCGACUGAGGGUAAUUUAGUUCUGUCUAAUCUUGGGCUGGCUGAAAAGCGUGUGUAUCAUGCGGCACUUAAUGGUAAUAGUCCUCGUGCUCUGCAUCAGAAAGAUGAUUGAAAGCCCUUGCAUCACUCUCUGUACACUAUCUGUUGAGGUGAUUGUAAGAAUGUAUGCCAACUUUAGCUGAUCAUGUGAUUCAUGGUUUCUCUGUUUGAGGAGUAUGUUGAUUGAUGAAAACAUUAUACCUAUUUUGAGAUGAAUUCCCUCCUUAUACUACAUUGUAUAGAAACCAUUAAACAUUAUAGUUCAAUAAUAAUGUCUGGCAUAAUUGUUUUGCUUGUUCAAUCAUUGCGUUUUGGCUUCUUGGUUUCCCUGCUUUUGGCCCUUUCAAGAGCCACCACUUGCUUCCAUAACUGAAUCAUCAAUUAUAUUUUUUUCGGGGGAACUGAAUCAUCUACUUGGUCUUCCCUGCAGGACUGUUGUGUCAAAGCUAAUUUGGAUACACAUGAUGAUAGUUUUACCUUUUGUCUUUGUACAUCGUGAAUUAAAUUUCUCAGUGAGGUCAGACACCAUGUACAUGUGUGCGCCUUUGAAACAAACCUGAGUUAGGUCUUUGGGCCAGAAGAAAUAGAGAUAGACGGGUAAAAGUUGAAAACUAACCUCUGUUUAUUUGAUUCGGCAUGUGAUUUGUUUCAUAUCCACUAAUGCGGCGUCCUAAUUGAACUUCUGCCAGUGUGUAUCAAAUAUUAGUCCUAAAUGGGAACUUCUGCCACUGUGUAUCAGAUACUAGGCCUAAUCGAACUUCUGCUUAGCUCAGUUGGUUAUUCUUUUGAUAUUAUUGUUCUAUUUACAAUAGAAGUCCC
This 1958-nucleotide ribosomal RNA is filed under the name Triticum aestivum (bread wheat). RNAcentral describes it as "partial small subunit ribosomal RNA". The record is from RNAcentral. Lineage: Eukaryota; Viridiplantae; Streptophyta; Magnoliopsida; Poales; Poaceae.